CGCGUGCACUGGUUCGGCCGGGCCUUUCCCUCUGGGGAACCGCAUGCCCUUCACUGGGUGUGUCGGGGAACCAGGACUUUUACUUUGAACAAAUUAGAUCGCUUAAAGAAGGCCUAUGCUCGAAUACAUUAGCAUGGAAUAAUAGAAUAGGACGUGUGGUUCUAUUUUGUUGGUUUCUAGGACCGCCGUAAUGAUUAAUAGGGACAGUCGGGGGCAUCAGUAUUCAAUUGUCAGAGGUGAAAUUCUUGGAUUUAUUGAAGACUAACUACUGCGAAAGCAUUUGCCAAGGAUGUUUUCAUUAAUCAGGAACGAAAGUUAGGGGAUCGAAGACGAUCAGAUACCGUCGUAGUCUUAACCAUAAACUAUGCCGACUAGGGAUCGGACGAUGUUAUAUUUUGACUCGUUCGGCACCUUACACGAAAGUAAAGUUUCUGGGUUCUGGGGGGAGUAUGGUCGCAAGGCUGAAACUUAAAGAAAUUGACGGAAGGGCUCCACCAGGGGUGGAGCCUGCGGCUUAAUUUGACUCAACACGGGGAAACUCACCAGGUCCAGACACAAGUAGGAUUGACAGAUUGAGAGCUCUUUCUUGAUUUUGUGGGUGGUGGUGCAUGGCCGUUCUUAGUUGGUGGAGUGAUUUGUCUGCUUAAUUGCGAUAACGAACGAGACCUUAACCUGCUAAAUAGCCCGUAUUGCUUUGGCAGUACGCUGGCUUCUUAGAGGGACUAUCGG
RNAcentral lists this ribosomal RNA (729 nucleotides) under uncultured eukaryote. Its description in RNAcentral is "SSU rRNA". It matches the Rfam family "Eukaryotic small subunit ribosomal RNA", at positions 670 to 1426 of the family's 1831-position model. The record is from RNAcentral.